UACGGAGGGUGCAAGCGUUGCUCGGAAUUACUGGGCGUAAAGGGCGUGUAGGCGGUUUCGUAUGUCUGGCGUGAAAGCCCCGGGCUCACCUCGGGAAGUGCGUCGGAAACUGCGAGACUAGAGUCCCGGAGAGGGAGGUGGAAUUCCAGGUGUAGCGGUGAAAUGCGUAGAUAUGACUUAGAACACCAAUUGCGAAGGCAGCUUGCUAAACAAAUAUUGACGCUGAGGCACGAAAGCGUGGGGAUCAAACAGG
RNAcentral lists this ribosomal RNA (253 nucleotides) under uncultured prokaryote. RNAcentral describes it as "partial 16S ribosomal RNA". It matches the Rfam family "Bacterial small subunit ribosomal RNA", at positions 524 to 776 of the family's 1533-position model. The record is from RNAcentral.